AAGUUAGUCAUUUUUGACUUAGAAAAUGUUGGGAUGUCAGCUCUGCUUUACAGUUUACUCAAGGAAUUUCUGUUGAAAAAUAUGAUAUUGUACGAUACAAGAUUCUUAUAAGAAAGCAUGCUGAGGUAGAUGUGCAACAGUGUAUGCUUGAAAUCCAGGAUGCUGCAGGAACAGAACAACUUACAACAAUGGGAAAUUUGUACAUGCAGGCUGGACAAGGCUUUGCUUUGGUUUAGUCCGUCACAGCCCAGUGCACAUUUAAAGACUGACACCAUCUGAGAGAACUGAUUCUUCGGGUCAAAGACACUGGUGAAGUUCCAGUGACUCUGGUUGGUAAUAAAUGUGACUUGGAAGAUGAAAUACUUGUAGGAAAGGAACAAGGUCAAAACCUAGUAAGGCAAUGGAGCCUCUGUGCGUUCUUAGAAUCCUCUUCAAAAUCCAGAAUAAAUGUUAAGGAAAUCUCGUGCAGUAGAUUAACAGAAAAACUCUAGUGCCUGGGAAGGCACAGAAAAAAAAUCAUCAUGCCAGCUGCUUUAA
Molecule: long non-coding RNA, 537 nt
Filed under: Mus musculus (house mouse)
Lineage: Eukaryota; Metazoa; Chordata; Mammalia; Rodentia; Muridae
Description: long non-coding RNA chr15:91822686-91823223
Source: RNAcentral